RNAcentral lists this long non-coding RNA (205 nucleotides) under Pan troglodytes (chimpanzee). RNAcentral's name for it is "long non-coding RNA NONPTRT002179". Lineage: Eukaryota; Metazoa; Chordata; Mammalia; Primates; Hominidae. The record is from RNAcentral.
AAUGCACUGCCUUGGAAGUAAACAGAACACUGAAUACAAUUUUGAGUCUUCUACUACAAAUGAUGUAAUCUUGGAAUGUUACUUAUUUGUCUGUCUCAGCUUAAUCAUCUGAAAAAUAAAUAUAGUCACACACAUAUCUUACAUUCCCUUGAUUGUGUCUUUCAGUCACAGAACCGUAAAUCCAAUCCAUACAGUAAUUACUCCU